RNAcentral lists this ribosomal RNA (243 nucleotides) under uncultured bacterium. Its description in RNAcentral is "partial 16S ribosomal RNA". It matches the Rfam family "Bacterial small subunit ribosomal RNA", at positions 81 to 339 of the family's 1533-position model. The record is from RNAcentral.
CGGGUGCGAGUAAAGUGGCGGACGGGUGAGUAACGCGUGGGAAUCUGCCUAGUAGUGGGGGAUAACAAUCGGAAACGGUUGCUAAUACCGCAUGUACCCUACGGGGGAAAGGCUUCGGCCGCUAUUAGAUGAGCCCGCAUUUGAUUAGCUAGUUGGUGAGGUAAAAGCUCACCAAGGCGAUAAUCAGUAGCUGAUUUGAGAGGAUGAUCAGCCACACUGGGACUGAGAUACGGCCCAGACUCC